AAUACAGGAUACCUGGUUAAAUUCGAAUUUCUAAUAAAAAGUAAAUAUUUUUUUGAGUAUAAGUCUAUCCCAUGCAACAUUUGGGACAUACUUAUACCAAAACCUUUUUCAUUAUUUAUCUGAAAUUCAAAUUUAACUGGGCAUCCUAUAUUUU
Molecule: microRNA precursor, 154 nt
Filed under: Tursiops truncatus (common bottlenose dolphin)
Lineage: Eukaryota; Metazoa; Chordata; Mammalia; Artiodactyla; Delphinidae
Description: miRNA (ENSTTRG00000021585.1)
Source: RNAcentral